This 67-nucleotide small RNA is filed under the name Acididesulfobacillus acetoxydans. Its description in RNAcentral is "Peptococcaceae bacterium INE non-coding RNA". The record is from RNAcentral. Lineage: Bacteria; Bacillati; Bacillota; Clostridia; Eubacteriales; Peptococcaceae.
GUUUCAAUUCCUCAUAGGCAGGCUAUCGGCGACGCAGACGCGAUUUAUGAACGUGCCUGGUCGGAAG